AACGAACGCUGGCGGCAUGCCUAACACAUGCAAGUCGAACGGUAGAGGGGGCAACCCCUUGAGAGUGGCGAACGGGUGAGUAAUAUAUCGGAACGUGCCCAGUCGUGGGGAUAACGUAGCGAAAGUUACGCUAAUACCGCAUACGAUCUAUGGAUGAAAGCGGGGGAUCGCAAGACCUCGCGCGAUUGGAGCGGCCGAUAUCAGAUUAGGUAGUUGGUGGGGUAAAAGCUCACCAAGCCGACGAUCUGUAGCUGGUUUGAGAGAACGACCAGCCACACUGGGACUGAGACACGGCCCAGACUCCUACGGGAGGCAGCAGUGGGGAAUUUUGGACAAUGGGCGAAAGCCUGAUCCAGCAAUGCCGCGUGCAGGAAGAAGGCCC
Molecule: ribosomal RNA, 382 nt
Filed under: uncultured bacterium
Lineage: Bacteria
Description: bacterial SSU rRNA
Rfam family: Bacterial small subunit ribosomal RNA
Source: RNAcentral